This 226-nucleotide small nuclear RNA is filed under the name Ictidomys tridecemlineatus (thirteen-lined ground squirrel). Its description in RNAcentral is "Spermophilus tridecemlineatus (thirteen-lined ground squirrel) 7SK RNA". It matches the Rfam family "7SK RNA". From Rfam's summary of the family: 7SK was discovered as an abundant small nuclear RNA in the mid-70s but a possible function has only recently been suggested. Two independent studies have found that 7SK RNA binds the CDK9/cyclin T complex (known as elongation factor P-TEFb). Lineage: Eukaryota; Metazoa; Chordata; Mammalia; Rodentia; Sciuridae. The record is from Rfam by way of RNAcentral.
GGAUGUGAGGGGGAUCUGGCGUGGCGCCUGUCACCUGAGACCGUGUCCUGUGUCUCCUAUGCCGCUCACAAUGUGACAGGGUCCAUCGCCAGGGCUGAUUCGGCUGACCUGGCUGGCUAGGUGGGGGUCCCUUUGCUCCCUCGCGGCUCCAAGUGUGGCCCUCCCGAAGCUGCGUGCUCCAUCCAAGAGGACGACCUUCCCGAUAGAGGAGGUCCCAGUGGUCCCA